This 293-nucleotide ribosomal RNA is filed under the name uncultured prokaryote. RNAcentral describes it as "partial 16S ribosomal RNA". It matches the Rfam family "Archaeal small subunit ribosomal RNA", at positions 455 to 747 of the family's 1478-position model. The record is from RNAcentral.
GUGUAAGCCUCCUCGGUAAUACCGGGAGCCCAAGUGAUGGCCGGUCUUAUUGGGCCUAAAGCGUCCGUAGCUGGCCACGCAAGUCCAUCGGGAAAUCCACCUGCCCAACAGGUGGGCGCCCGGUAGAAACUGCGUGGCUUGGGACCGGAAGGCGCGACGGGUACGUCCGGGGUAGGAGUGAAAUCCCGUAAUCCUGGACGGACCGCCGAUGGCGAAAGCACGUCGCGAGAACGGAUCCGACAGUGAGGGACGAAAGCCAGGGUCUCGAACCGGAUUAGAUAACCCCGUAGUCC